AUUGCCUCAGUAACGGCGAGUGAAGCGGCAACAGCUCAAAUUUGAAAUCUGGCCCUAGGCCCGAGUUGUAAUUUGCAGAGGAUGCUUUUGGCAAGGUGCCUUCCGAGUUCCCUGGAACGGGACGCCAUAGAGGGUGAGAGCCCCGUCUGGUCGGACACCGAGCCUCUGUAAAGCUCCUUCGACGAGUCGAGUAGUUUGGGAAUGCUGCUCAAAAUGGGAGGUAUAUGUCUUCUAAAGCUAAAUACCGGCCAGAGACCGAUAGCGCACAAGUAGAGUGAUCGAAAGAUGAAAAGCACUUUGAAAAGAGAGUUAAAUAGCACGUGAAAUUGUUGAAAGGGAAGCGUUUAUGACCAGACUUGGCCCGGUUGAUCAUCCAGCCUUCUGGCUGGUGCACUCUGCCGGUCCAGGCCAGCAUCAGUUCGUCGCGGGGGAUAAAGGUUUCGGGAAUGUAUCUCCUCCGGGAGUGUUAUAGCCCGUUGCGUAAUACCCUGCGGUGGACUGAGGUCCGCGCUCUGCAAGGAUGCUGGCGUAAUGGUCAUCAACGACCCGUCUUGAAACACGGACCAAGGAGUCGUCUUCGUAUGCGAGUGUUCGGGUGUAAAACCCCUACGCGUAAUGAAAGUGAACGCAGGUGAGAGCUUCGGCGCAUCAUCGACCGAUCCUGAUGUUCUCGGAUGGAUUUGAGUAAGAGCAUACGGGGCCGGACCCGAAAGAAGGUGAACUAUGCCUGUAUAGGGUGAAGCCAGAGGAAACUCUGGUGGAGGCUCGCAGCGGUUCUGACGUGCAAAUCGAUCGUCAAAUAUGGGCAUGGGGGCGAAAG
This 820-nucleotide ribosomal RNA is filed under the name Albifimbria verrucaria. Its description in RNAcentral is "partial large subunit ribosomal RNA". It matches the Rfam family "Eukaryotic large subunit ribosomal RNA", at positions 74 to 929 of the family's 3401-position model. The record is from RNAcentral. Lineage: Eukaryota; Fungi; Ascomycota; Sordariomycetes; Hypocreales; Stachybotryaceae.